This 450-nucleotide ribosomal RNA is filed under the name uncultured Glomeromycotina. Its description in RNAcentral is "SSU rRNA". It matches the Rfam family "Eukaryotic small subunit ribosomal RNA", at positions 569 to 1023 of the family's 1831-position model. Lineage: Eukaryota; Fungi; Glomeromycota. The record is from RNAcentral.
AGCAGCCGCGGUAAUUCCAGCUCCAAUAGCGUAUAUUAAAGUUGUUGCAGUUAAAAAGCUCGUAGUUGAAUUUCGGAAUCAAUUUGUUGGUCGUGCCUCGGUACGUACUGGUAUUAUUGGUUUCUACCUUCUGAAGAACCUUGAUGUCAUUAAUUUGGUGUCUUGGGGAAUCAGGACUGUUACUUUGAAAAAAUUAGAGUGUUUAAAGCAAGCAUACGCUUGAAUACAUUAGCAUGGAAUAAUGAAAUAGGACGUUUGAUUCUAUUUUGUUGGUUUCUAGGAUCGACGUAAUGAUUAAUAGGGAUAGUUGGGGGCAUUAGUAUUCAAUUGUCAGAGGUGAAAUUCUUGGAUUUAUUGAAGACUAACUACUGCGAAAGCAUUUUGCCAAGGAUGUUUUCAUUAAUCAAGAACGAAAGUUAAGGGAUCGAAGACGAUCAGAUACCGUCGUAG